CGACCGGCGCACGGGUGAGUAACGCGUAUCCAACCUGCCCACCACUUGGGGAUAACCUUGCGAAAGUAAGACUAGUACCCAAUGAUAUCUCUAGAAGACAUCUGAAAGAGAUUAAAGAUUUAUCGGUGAUGGAUGGGGAUGCGUCUGAUUAGCUUGUUGGCGGGGUAACGGCCCACCAAGGCGACGAUCAGUAGGGGUUCUGAGAGGAAGGUCCCCCACAUUGGAACUGAGACACGGUCCAA
This 242-nucleotide ribosomal RNA is filed under the name uncultured bacterium. RNAcentral's name for it is "partial 16S ribosomal RNA". It matches the Rfam family "Bacterial small subunit ribosomal RNA", at positions 92 to 334 of the family's 1533-position model. The record is from RNAcentral.